AGGACGAACGCUGGCGGCGUGCCUAAUACAUGCAAGUCGAACGGUCUUUUCUAUGGAAGCUUGCUUCCACUGAGAAGAUAGUGGCGAACGGGUGAGUAACACGUGGGUAACCUGCCCAUAAGAGGGGGGUAACAUCCGGAAACGGGUGCUAAUACCGCAUAGUUUUCUUGAUCGCAUGAUCGGGAAAGGAAAGACGGCCUUUGUGCUGUCGCUUAUGGAUGGACCCGCGGCGUAUUAGUUAGUUGGUGAGGUAACGGCUCACCAAGACGAUGAUACGUAGCCGACCUGAGAGGGUGAUCGGCCACAUUGGGACUGAGACACGGCCCAAACUCCUACGGGAGGCAGCAGUAGGGAAUCUUCCGCAAUGGACGAAAGUCUGACGGAGCAACGCCGCGUGAGUGAAGAAAGGUUUUCGGAUCGUAAAACUCUGUUGUCAGAGAAGAACAAGUUGGAGAGUAACUGCUCCAGCCUUGACGGUAUCUGACCAGAAAGCCACGGCUAACUACGUGCCAGCAGCCGC
This 520-nucleotide ribosomal RNA is filed under the name uncultured bacterium. Its description in RNAcentral is "bacterial SSU rRNA". It matches the Rfam family "Bacterial small subunit ribosomal RNA", at positions 26 to 518 of the family's 1533-position model. The record is from RNAcentral.